Molecule: long non-coding RNA, 1357 nt
Filed under: Fukomys damarensis (Damara mole-rat)
Lineage: Eukaryota; Metazoa; Chordata; Mammalia; Rodentia; Bathyergidae
Description: lncRNA (ENSFDAG00000025588.1)
Source: RNAcentral
AUAUAUGGGGGAUAACUUCAAUUCCUCUGCAUUUACUGAACACAUUCUAUGAACAAGUCUAUUUUGGAGAAUGACCCAUGUACAGCUGAAAAGAAUGUAUGUUCCGUAAACAUCUGCUAAAUUAAUUUGUACAGGAGUUUUGCUAAGUUCUGGCAUUUCAUUGUUGCUGGUGUUGUUUUUCAGAUUUGCAGGUGGAAAUUUAUUUGGAAAACCAACAAUUGUAAUAUAAACAGAAAAUCUCCUCUCCUUUGUAAUAAAGGAUCAGAAUAAUAUAAAGAAACUUCAACAAAAUAGGACAUCUCUAAUUUGCAAAUAUUCAUAAGAAUGUGGGAAGCAUAGUAGAGAAAAAUCAAGGGUAAGCAUUAUCAUUUACCCAAAGCUUAAUUCUUAACAACACUUAUACAUUUUUACACAUAACACAUGUAAUGUAGAACUUAAGAAGCAUCAAUAUUUAUAUUUUCAGAAAUAAUGAACAAUACAUUCAUCCUCAUAUUUCAGAGCUUGAAGUUAUAACUGUUGGAAUUUGUAGAUGGAAGUGGUAAAAUGUUUAGAAGGGAAAGUUGGCUGGUCCUGGCCAUAACCUUGCUGAAGAAUGGUUUUUGGAUAAUGAGAAGGAAAAAAAAUCAAAAGGCAAAUUGGAAGUGGUUGGAGCACUACCAAGCCUGCAAAUGAGAUCAAUUCCAGAGAUAGACAGAGUCAAGUAAUCCUCAGAAAAAUCCUGUCCUGGCCCCUAUGGCGAAGAAGCCCCAAAGGCAUUUGUGCUGUCUGCCUAAUCACCUAGGCAACCUUCCUUAGAAGCAAGAUGAGGGUAAGUUUUACUCAAAAUUCACUAUAAAAUUAUUUCUGUUUCUAUAUCUGAAACACACUUAAGAAACUCACAGUUCAAAACCUGUACUCAUCAUCCAUCAGCCACAAUUUAUUUACACAAUGGGAGAAGAACUUUCCUCAUCUAACACAUAAAUGAUGAGAAACAGGGCUAGGAGAGGAGAAAGAGCUAGGAGUUUGGAGAUUUUCAUUUAAACUGAAUGUGUUUUGAUCCCUUGAAUAUUGAAAUAGGAAGAAAAUGGCUAAAGGGGAAGUUGGAAGGGGAGGGGAAAGGAAAUAAGGAAAAAGAAAAAAAUGAAAAAAGUAAAAAAUGGUAACAAAGUAUUUGUAAACAUUGUGCUUUAGAAAAUAUCUCCUACUGGUCUCACCAAGAAAUUAGUUUCAAUUUCUCUUACUCAUGAGACUCCCUAGAAGACUAAGCAGGAAUAUAGCUUUUAUGUGUGUUCUACUUGAUGGACAAAAUUCGGAUAUCUCAUUUGACCAAGAGAUGGCAUAUGUGUUUCUCAUCUAAGGUGACUUCCUAGUCUUCAGC